This 246-nucleotide ribosomal RNA is filed under the name uncultured bacterium. RNAcentral's name for it is "partial 16S ribosomal RNA". It matches the Rfam family "Bacterial small subunit ribosomal RNA", at positions 796 to 1041 of the family's 1533-position model. The record is from RNAcentral.
CACGCCCUAAACGAUGAAUACUUGGUGUUGGCUUUUUUAAGUCAGUGCCGAAGGUAACCUGAUAAGUAUUCCACCUGGGGAGUACGCUCGCAAGGGUGAAACUCAAAGGAAUUGACGGGGGCCCGCACAAGCGGUGGAGCAUGUGGUUUAAUUCGAUGCAACGCGAAGAACCUUACCUGGGCUUGAACUAUAGGUGGUAGAGAGAUGAAAGUCGAACGACCUAGCAAUAGGAGCCUAUAGAGGUGC